GAGCCUGACAUUUCCUAGCGUCUCUCCAGCCCAUCUGUACUGUAAGUUGCACAGGAAGAGGAGCGCUGCCCUCUGCUGGCCAGAAUGCUGCCAUGGCUGCCACAGAGGGAUGAGUUGAUUGGCUGCUGCCCCAAGGCAUUUUCCAGUACCUGCCAGGUGGAGAGCUACAGGGAUGCCCUGGACAGGUGGACCCAGAUGAAGCUGCUGUUAACUACCUGCUAGUGACACAAGAUGGUGGUCCACAGCGGGAGGAUGUGGGGUCUUCGACGGAGCUAGAGUGGAGGCCUACAACAUCUUUCAUAACUGUUGGGCACAGGGUAACCAUCUGUCUGUCUGUCUCUGUCCUAGGUUGAACCUAUUUGGGCGUGAGCUCAUUCACUGCUGCAAGUUUUGAUAGGUGGAUGUAUGUGAUUGAUGGUAGACCCAACAGAAAGCUGGCCACUGAUAGGAGAGACAGCUGGAGCCUGAAGAAGCCCAUGACCAUGAUUCUUGCGCUGCCAGCUCAUGAACACACACACACAGAUGAUGAUGAUGAUGAAGAUCAGGAUGGUCAAACCCGCCAGAAUGGUUACUGAGAUCCAGCGCUCCAGACCAAACAGCAACACGGAAGAAGAGGCCUCUGUGUACUCAUCUAGUCAUCACAACAAAACACUUUUUAUCUUUUAGAUGUCUCUAACUGACUCAGGUCGGAUCUUCUUGUCACUGACAGACAGAGUCAGUCCUGCCUCUCCUGUUUCCUGUCCGUUCAGUCUCCAGGACACGUUCACCUUGACAUCAUUGCCUACAUCACACAGGAGCCUGGCUGACGCGCUGCUACAGUUGUGUGUGACUCUGGGUUUAGACACAGGAGCUGACAACAAAAACAUGUUUGGUCAUGUUUAAUGUGAAAGCAAAUGGCAAGUCCCCUUAAUACCAACUGUGAGGCAAAUCAUACACUUUCACAUAAAAAUGUAAUACUGAUUUUGAUCCAGAUCAGGACGUGCAUGUUGUGGAUUGUUGUGGAUCGUUGUUGUUGCAGUUACUGUAUAUCAGUAUGACAUCCUGUAUGUCAGGAUGCCUUGCCUUGCUUAACCAAAUAGAAAAAAAGUUCAAUAUCAGUACAUUCCACUGAUACUUACAUAGGACAUGUAAAA
Molecule: long non-coding RNA, 1133 nt
Organism: Osmerus eperlanus (European smelt)
Lineage: Eukaryota; Metazoa; Chordata; Actinopteri; Osmeriformes; Osmeridae
Exons: 5
Source: RefSeq, a predicted model, not a curated record